RNAcentral lists this ribosomal RNA (253 nucleotides) under uncultured bacterium. RNAcentral describes it as "partial 16S ribosomal RNA". It matches the Rfam family "Bacterial small subunit ribosomal RNA", at positions 524 to 776 of the family's 1533-position model. The record is from RNAcentral.
GACAGAGGUGCCGAGCGUUAGGCGGAAUCACUGGGCUUAAAGCGUGUGUAGGCGGACCUGUAAGUACCUUGUGAAAUCCCACGGCUCAACCGUGGAACUGCUGGGUAUACUGCGGGUCUUGAGCCACCUAGGGGCGAGCGGAACAAGUGGUGGAGCGGUGAAAUGCGUAGAUAUCGUUUGGAACGCCAAUGGUGAAAACAGGUCGCUGGGGAUGAGCUGACGCUGAGACACGAAAGCCAGGGGAGCAAACGGG